AAUGUAGCAAUACAUGGCGUACUGCUCAGUAACACGUGGACAACCUGCCCUUAGGUCGGGUAUAAACCCGGGAAACUGGGUAUAAUCCCCGAUAGGUCUCGGCUGCUGGAAUGCAUCGAGAUURAAAGCUCCGGCGCCUAAGGAUGGGUCUGCGGCCUAUCAGGUAGUAGUGGGUGUAGCGUACCUACUAGCCUACGACGGGUACGGGUUGUGAGAGCAAGAGCCCGGAGAUGGAUUCUGAGACACGAAUCCAGGCCCUACGGGGUGCAGCAGGCGCGAAAACUUUACAAUGCUGGCAACAGCGAUAAGGGAACCUCGAGUGCCAGGUUACAAAUCUGGCUGUCGAGAUGCCUAAAAAGCAUUUCAUAGCAAGGGCCGGGCAAGACCGGUGCCAGCCGCCGCGGUAACACCGGCGGCUCGAGUGGUAACCGUUAUUAUUGGGUCUAAAGGGUCUGUAGCCGGCCGGAUAAGUCUCUUGAGAAAUCUGGCAGCUUAACUGUCAGGCUUUCAGGAGAUACUGUCUGGCUCGAGGCCGGGAGAGGUGAGAGGUACUUCAGGGGUAGGGGUGAAAUCUUGUAAUCCUUGAAGGACCACCAGUGGCGAAGGCGUCUCACCAGAACGGACCUGACGGCAAGGGACGAAAGCUAGGGGCACGAA
Molecule: ribosomal RNA, 657 nt
Filed under: uncultured archaeon
Lineage: Archaea
Description: bacterial SSU rRNA
Rfam family: Archaeal small subunit ribosomal RNA
Source: RNAcentral